UGGAGAACCAAUCAACUUCCCUCUCUCCCUCCUCUUUCUCAUUGAUUUUGUAACCUGAACUCUCCCAUAAACAUUUUGGCUUUCUUGUGAACACAUGGAAGGGAGUCGGAAAAAAAGCAAGAUGAAGAUCCGUGUUCUUUGAACAAAGCAGUUUAAAAACAUAUUGGAUCUCAUCUCAUUCAACUUGAAACAGAGUCACAAAACGUGCUCUCCAUUUACAACUUCUGUGACAUUUUGCUGGCAUUAAACCAUCUGAAACAGAUGAUCCCUCCCCAUUCUUCAUGAAUCCAGUAUACGAGAAUUGCUCAGUUUCUUCCUCUGUAUGUGGUGAGAAAGUCUAAAAUCCCAGGAAACGAGAGCAGCGCAUUCUCUCAGGAAAUGAGAAUCACGCAAAUGGAAACCAAGAAGCCAGUGAGCAACACACUACUGAGGAUGCGCCUCAGGAUCAUGGAAGUUUGAAGCCUUGUAUAGGUAGGUACUGCUUC
This 485-nucleotide long non-coding RNA is filed under the name Canis lupus familiaris (dog). RNAcentral describes it as "lncRNA (ENSCAFG00845024315.1)". The record is from RNAcentral. Lineage: Eukaryota; Metazoa; Chordata; Mammalia; Carnivora; Canidae.